Molecule: ribosomal RNA, 402 nt
Filed under: uncultured bacterium
Lineage: Bacteria
Description: bacterial SSU rRNA
Rfam family: Bacterial small subunit ribosomal RNA
Source: RNAcentral
UGGGGAAUCUUGCGCAAUGGGCGAAAGCCUGACGCAGCCAUGCCGCGUGAAUGAUGAAGGUCUUAGGAUUGUAAAAUUCUUUCACCGGGGACGAUAAUGACGGUACCCGGAGAAUAAGCACCGGCUAACUUCGUGCCAGCAGCCGCGGUAAUACGAAGGGUGCAAGCGUUACUCGGAAUUACUGGGCGUAAAGCGUGCGUAGGUGGUGGUUUAAGUCUGCUGUGAAAGCCCUGGGCUCAACCUGGGAAUUGCCUUUGGUACUGGGUGUCUUGAGUGUGAGAGAGGUAUGUGGAACUCCGAGUGUAGAGGUGAAAUUCGUAGAUAUUCGGAAGAACACCAGUGGCGAAGGCGACAUACUGGCUCAUUACUGACGCUGAGGCUCGAAAGCGUGGGGAGCAAACA